RNAcentral lists this long non-coding RNA (282 nucleotides) under Capsella rubella. RNAcentral describes it as "long non-coding RNA (CRUB_LNC004043)". Lineage: Eukaryota; Viridiplantae; Streptophyta; Magnoliopsida; Brassicales; Brassicaceae. The record is from RNAcentral.
GUAAUUUAAAAAACCAUUAACGUAUUUUCUCAUCUCUGUUGUCUUAUUACCGAAUUUAGUCUCUUAAAAAACGUAUAAUUUAUAAUUAUGUCAAAAAAACAUUUUCCUCUGCCGCAUAUGGUCGUUGUGACCAUUUUUAAAGACACCAAAUUACAAAAAAAAAAAAAAUUUACUUGGUUUCAAUAUUGUAAAAACUGUUAUUAAUGUUAAUCAACUGACAUUUAUUUUAUCGCUAGAUAAAUUAAUGACUGUAAUACAUUUUUCGUGUCGUUGUAUCAGCCG